Molecule: long non-coding RNA, 2083 nt
Filed under: Panax ginseng (ginseng)
Lineage: Eukaryota; Viridiplantae; Streptophyta; Magnoliopsida; Apiales; Araliaceae
Description: long non-coding RNA (PGIN_LNC005882)
Source: RNAcentral
CCUCAAACAAAUAAACAAAAAAAUAUCAGAAUUAGAUACAAAGGAUAUAACAUAUGCAUGCAUAAUAAAAUUGUCGUAAUGAAUAUUAUAUUCUACUAAAUACAUUCUGAAAGUAUGAGCCAAUGAAUUGUUUAUUUGACUUUAAAAAGUCAAAAUUAAAUAUUUAAUUUGAGACAAAAAGAGCAUAAUUUAUUCGAAAUUACAAAUACCCAUUAAUAACAACACACAACAAAUAGAAUGAGAGGAAGAGAGAUGUGAAAAAACGGAAGGAAAGGCUCAAAUCUGUAAUAUAUUAGGCAAGAGGGUGACACCGCCAUGACUGCAACCAACAGUUGCAUGAGAGAGGAAUAAUAACCCAAUCAAAUCUCUUACAUACCCUCCGGGUUGCCCCGCCAAGAUACAAGUCACAUUCUCUCAUUGCCCGAUUUAACCCAGAAAAAUUGAUUCAUCAUUAUCAUAGCCUCUUCCAUAUAUGCCAUCUCUAAGCCAUUGUAAAAUAAGUCAUUGUUGAACAGACCCUAAGAAUAAGCUAUAAGCUGUUUUGAAUAAGCUGAAACAAACAAACAUGGCCUUAAACACUAACAAGGGCUGUUGAAUUGUAUUACACUGUAUAUACCCAUAAUAAAUUAAUGAAUUUCAUCAGAGAAGCAAUAUUGCAUCUUACCGAAAGAAAAUGACAACAGUCACAAGUCUACUAGUAUAAUAAAUGAUUUAAACUAUGUCUCACAAAAUUAAGUACAUAUAUAAUUUAGGUACAUAGUUCUAAUUUAGGUGCUUAACAUAUACAAAAUAAUUUCACCAUAUAGAUAAUUUAUACUUGGUUUUCAGAAAGAAGCAGAUUUCCACAACAACAAAAAAAUCGUAAUAAGACCUCAAAUAAUUUAGCAAAAAUAAGAAAAUAGAAGAAAAUAGAAAGUAGUGGUGAUGAAAUGUAUUACACUGCUUAUACCCAUAAUAAAUUAAUGAAUUCCAUCAGAGAAGCAAAAUUGCAUCUUACUGGAAAAAAAUGACAACAGUCACAAGUCUACUAGUAUAAUAAAUGAUUUAAACUAUGUCUCACAAAAUUAAGUACAUAUAUAUAUAAUUUAGGUACAUAGUUCUAAUUUAGGUGCUUAACAUAUACAAAAUAAUUUCACCAUACAGAUAAUUUUUACUUGAUUUUCAGAAAGAAGCAGAUUUCCACAACAACAAAAAAAUUGUAAUAAGACCUCAAAUAAUUUAGCAAAAACAAGAAAAUAGAAAGUAGUGGUGAUGAAAUGUAUUACACUGCCUAUACCUAUAAUAAAUUAAUGAAUUCCAGAAAACUAAGUUUCUAUCAGAUAUUUUGUCAAACAUACAGCAAGACGCAAAUCAGUAUACGAGGUAUACAUAUUAACAUAUGAAUUAAGGCAUUACAAACAUAAAGAUAUGAUUCAAACCCAAGUUUCAGAACAUGUUCUGUAGCAUAUGCAAUUUAAAAAUCAAAAUCAAAUCCAAAUGGUGUUAAGAAACUAAAAUUACAUAGAAAAGUAUAUACUUGAAGCCUCAAAGUGUUCCAUUGAAUUGAAUAAUAUCAAAUUGAAACUUGAAAGCUAUAAAUUAGGGUUCUAAUUUUACAGAUUGGGGAUUUUUGGUAUAACAGAAUUAAUUUGACUUUGAUUUUUGGAUCAGAGAAGACGUGAAAUUGGGGGAUUGGGCCAUGGCUGGAUAAGAAAUAUUAAAGCUAUACAUAUAUAUAGAUUACUUGAGUGAAAGAGAAGAUUAGAAGAAGAAAAUAUGAAAGAACUGACUUACACAACGCAUCGAUCUUCUUUUGUGGUGGGAUGAUUCAGUUUUUAGCAUCAAAUCUCACCCCCUCGAGGCUCGAGACUAGAUUUCUCUAUAAACGAAGCGACUAAACCGAACUCUGAAGUCUCAAGAGACGAAAGGAACAGAGGGUAGAAAACCAAACGCUGAAACGCGUAACGGCUAAAGCCUUUUCCACUCCCUUAUCAGAUGACAGAUAUUAAGGAUCAACUACGUACGAACCUGAAACGAGUAGGUUUAUCGAGUAUGGAUCGAGUAUGGCUCAAACGAUAGAGGAAAGCUCGAACCCUAAAAUGAG